AUCAUUUGAAUGAACUUUGUUCAAAGAGUGAGUUUUCUCCUCUCUAAAUUCGUACGAGUUUCGAUCUGACUUAUCUAACAUGCUAGUGGCGUCUAUCGUUCUCUUUUGAACUUAUCACCUUGCUUUGGUGUGGCGUUCAACCUUCUACAAUUCCGCAAUCCCACCUUGAACCGAAUAGAAAUCGGGGUGACACUUUUAGUGUUGAAUCGUUUAUGGUGUUUAAGCUCAUUUAUCCAUUCCACCGACUAUCCUAGAUUUUACCCAACUAUAAUAUCUUUUUACAAAACCGAGCCUUCAUUUAUCAACUUCCAUUUUUCUUAUUUUUAUACUUAAAUCGAGCCUACUACACUUAUAAAUUUACCAUCACCUUAGCCAACCUUUAAAACCAUUUGAAAGCUUCCGCAUCUUUAGCCUUAUUUCAUCCUAUUUUCGAUAACUCAACUAUUCCUCGUCGACGAUCGGGCAAUCAAAUGAAUCGACUCAAUCAACCGAGCCAGAUCACAUCAUGAUUGGCCUAAACACGAGGGCCCUAAGUGCAAGAUGAAGCUCAAUCUCAGCUCAACAAGCUCAAUCUUAGUUUUUCCCAGCUCAAUUUAGCUCACAUGAGCUUAAUUUAGCUCGCUUGAGCUCAAUUUAGCUCGUUUGAGCUCAAUUUAGCUUACUUUAGCUCGUUUGAGCUUGGCUUAAGUUUAUUUCAACUCAUUUAUUUUAAUGUCUAAAUAAAUUAAGUAAUUUAUUAAUUUAGCUUAAAUUACUACAGCUUAUAAUUAUGUUUUGACUUAUUACAUGUUUUAAAUGUGUCUUGGCC
Molecule: long non-coding RNA, 808 nt
Filed under: Gossypium barbadense (sea-island cotton)
Lineage: Eukaryota; Viridiplantae; Streptophyta; Magnoliopsida; Malvales; Malvaceae
Description: long non-coding RNA (GBAR_LNC017164)
Source: RNAcentral